GAGAAUCACUUGAACCCAGGAGGCAGAGGUUGCAGAGAGCUGAGAUCAUGCCAUUGCACGCCAGCCUGGUGACAAAGCUGGAAAAAAAAAAAAAGGCCGGGUGCAGUGGCUCAUGCCUGUAAUCCCAGUACUUUAGGAGGCCAAGGUGGGUGGAUCUCUUGAGGUCAGGAGUUUGAGACCAGCCUGGCCAACAUUGUGAAACUCCAUCUCUACUAAAAAUACAAAAUAGCCGGGCAUGGUGGUGUGCACCUGUAAUUCCAGCUACUUGGGAGGCUGAGGCAGGAGAAUCACUUGAACCCAGGAGGCAGAGGUUGUAGUGAGCUAAGAUCACGCCACUGCAUUCCAGUCUGGGUGACAGAGUGAGACUGUCUCAAGAAAAAAAAAAAAAGAGAGAGAGAGAGCUUGAAUAGCCAAGGCAAUACUAAGCAAAAAGAACAAAGCUGGAAGCAUCAUGCUAUUAAUAACUGACUUCAAACUAAACUAUAGGGCUACAGUAAUCAAAACAGCAUGGUGCUGGUACAAGAAACAGACACAUAAACCAAUGAAACAGAAUAGAAAACCCAGAAGUAAGGCUGCUCACCUACAAAUAUCUGAUCUUUGACAAAGCUAACAAAAACAAGCACUGGGGAAAGGAUUCCCUAUUGAAUAAGUGGUGCUG
Molecule: long non-coding RNA, 658 nt
Filed under: Homo sapiens (human)
Lineage: Eukaryota; Metazoa; Chordata; Mammalia; Primates; Hominidae
Description: HSALNT0179067
Source: RNAcentral